CAAGUCCAAGACACCCACUGGGUGCUGGAAAGAGUGCAGAGAAGCUUUCCUGGUGGACUUCCUGGAGGCCAGGGGAAGGCCCCUCGCUCCUCCCAUGAGGGAUGAAACACCAGGAUAUGGGAAACUUUCCUGAUUCAGCCAGCCCUUGGAUGUCAAGGAGACAAACACUGGACUGGAGCUCCGGCAUAAAAGGAGAUGUGCCAUUUUCAUAUGUUCCACACAUACUCAGAGAACCUGCUUGGAAUAUUUUUGCUGAUGAAAUUUUCUGGGUUGUAACAUUCAUCUCUUUGAAAAGCUUGCUUCCUAUAACCCCACGUGGAGGUUUGUGCUUUUACUUCUCUCUGCGAUGCCAUCUACACGUGGAUUUUUGUGUCAACUGCUUAUCUCAGGCAUUAGCCAAUUUCUUGUCUGUUUGUAUUGUUUAUAAGGUGCUGGACACACACGGUGCUUUGCCGACGCGAGCGGACCCAGCUCCCUGCCCUGUGGAGAGCACCGUCUAA
RNAcentral lists this long non-coding RNA (500 nucleotides) under Canis lupus familiaris (dog). RNAcentral's name for it is "lncRNA (ENSCAFG00030002617.1)". Lineage: Eukaryota; Metazoa; Chordata; Mammalia; Carnivora; Canidae. The record is from RNAcentral.